GAGAAUAUUCUUCUAAUCUGAUGAUAGACGGUUAUUUUUCCGUUGCAGGUGAAUUUGAUAGCUAAACUAAGCCAUCCAUAUCUUUUAGAGUACAAAGAUGCUUGGGUGGACAAGGGGAGCUGUAUAUGCAUCGUUGCCGAUUAUUGCGAAGAUGAAAAUAUGGCGGAGGUCAUGAGGAAGUCUAGAGGAGCAGUUUUCCAG
This is a long non-coding RNA of Capsicum annuum, 201 nucleotides long. RefSeq lists it as uncharacterized. NCBI's taxonomy places the organism in Eukaryota, Viridiplantae, Streptophyta, Magnoliopsida, Solanales, Solanaceae. The record is from RefSeq and is a predicted model, not a curated record. The transcript has 3 exons.